AGUAAAUCUGUCAAAUCAAGAAAACAAAACAGCACAUACCGCGCUAUUUUCUAUGAAAACGUCAACAGCUGAGCAAGAGAAUCAGGAUUGUUUUUCUACCGUCCCUGGCAAUAAUUAGAAAUUAGCUACGGUCCGAGUGCAAGGCCACAGCACGGCACAGUGAAAAUUGUCAAAAAGUUCCUUCUUUAUUUCUGCGUCAUCUGACUGUGCUCCUGGUCCUGCAUUGUCGGAGCGAAUGUGUGCCAAUAAGACUGCAAUUGUGCCAUCGCGUGAAAUCACUUGUCCAGUAGUUGACCGAACUGAAGUAUCAAGCACAAGUAUUUCGACCAUGGAAACCUUAUGUCGCGGCUGUGUUCAAGUAAGGACCCAUACAAUCUGCGUUUCUAUUAAAACCAUUUUCCGGAAGUUUUGAUAAGGUGCAGAACUGCAGCGUCAAAGAUGGACUACCAACGAGGAAACCAGUUUUUUCGUGGCUUCUCACCAAGGUUUGCAACAAGUCUGCUAGCCCAGAAAUUAAGCGACUAUUGCUACGCAGUAGAGAAAUUAUGCGUAUGCCACAGAAGUGUGUGCUAUAUUUUACUAUUGCAUGUGUGUUUUUCAACA
Armigeres subalbatus is the source of this 603-nucleotide long non-coding RNA. RefSeq lists it as uncharacterized. The record is from RefSeq and is a predicted model, not a curated record. The transcript is spliced from 3 exons. NCBI's taxonomy places the organism in Eukaryota, Metazoa, Arthropoda, Insecta, Diptera, Culicidae.